CUACGGGUUGCUGCAGUGGGGAAUAUUGCACAAUGGGCGCAAGCCUGAUGCAGCAACGCCGCGUGAGGGAUGAAGGCCUUCGGGUUGUAAACCUCUUUUAGCAGGGAAGAAGCGAAAGUGACGGUACCUGCAGAAAAAGCACCGGCUAACUACGUGCCAGCAGCCGCGGUAAUACGUAGGGGGCAAGCGUUGUCCGGAAUUAUUGGGCGUAAAGAGCUCGUAGGCGGUUUGUCACGUCUGCUGUGAAAAUCCAAGGCUCAACCUUGGACUUGCAGUGGGUACGGGCAGGCUAGAGUGCGGUAGGGGAGAUGGGAAUUCCUGGUGUAGCGGUGGAAUGCGCAGAUAUCAGGAGGAACACCAAUGGCGAAGGCACAUCUCUGGGCCGUAACUGACGCUGAGGAGCGAAAGCGUGGGGAGCGAACAGGAUUAGAUACCCUUGUAGUC
This 444-nucleotide ribosomal RNA is filed under the name uncultured bacterium. RNAcentral's name for it is "partial 16S ribosomal RNA". It matches the Rfam family "Bacterial small subunit ribosomal RNA", at positions 339 to 795 of the family's 1533-position model. The record is from RNAcentral.